AGUCUUUUAGUUUAUUUUUUUUUUGAAUUUUUCAUUUACGAUGAAAAGGUUUGUAGACUU
This 60-nucleotide transfer RNA is filed under the name Mansonella sp. 'DEUX'. Its description in RNAcentral is "tRNA-Val". The record is from RNAcentral. Lineage: Eukaryota; Metazoa; Nematoda; Chromadorea; Rhabditida; Onchocercidae.